AGGUGGUGCAUGGUUGUCGUCAGCUCGUGUCGUGAGAUGUUGGGUUAAGUCCCGGCAACGAGCGCAACCCUCGACCUUAGUUGCCAGCAUUCAGUUGGGCACUCUAGUGAGACUGCCGGUGACAAACCGGAGGAAGGUGGGGAUGACGUCAAGUCCUCAUGGCCCUUAUGGGUAGGGCUUCACACGUCAUACAAUGGUCGGUACAGAGGGUUGCCAAGCCGCGAGGUGGAGCCAAUCCCUUAAAGCCGAUCGUAGUCCGGAUCGUAGUCUGCAACUCGACUACGUGAAGUCGGAAUCGCUAGUAAUCGCAGAUCAGCAUGCUGCGGUGAAUACGUUCCCGGGUCUU
This 346-nucleotide ribosomal RNA is filed under the name uncultured Thauera sp. RNAcentral describes it as "bacterial SSU rRNA". It matches the Rfam family "Bacterial small subunit ribosomal RNA", at positions 1036 to 1382 of the family's 1533-position model. Lineage: Bacteria; Pseudomonadati; Pseudomonadota; Betaproteobacteria; Rhodocyclales; Zoogloeaceae. The record is from RNAcentral.